GCCCAUCCGGUGGAACACACUUCCGGGUGUCUGAGAACUUUGUAACAUUUUAGCCGGAGUUUGGUUCAUUUUGACACAUUUUAAAACGAGGAGCAACAAAAAGAAGAAGAAGAAGAGGAAGAGGAAGAAGUUUGUUUUCAACGUCGUGAAGGAGGAAGUAGAAGAGAAGAAGUGGGAGGAGUCACAUGAUGGAGGAGGCGGAGCCGAGAGGAGGCGUCACAGAGGAGGAGACUCCUCCGAGGGUGAGACAGGCAAAUACAACGUGUCAAUGGGAAGCAAACCGUAACCACAGCGACAGCAGCGUCACUUCCUGUCUGGCCGAGUCCUCGCCGUCGUCAGACGCCUCGCCGCCGCCGUCGGAGUCCUCGCCGCCGCCAUCGGAGUCCUCGCCGCCGCCAUCGGAGGCCUCGCCGCCGCCAUCGGAGGCCUCG
This is a long non-coding RNA of Cyclopterus lumpus (lumpfish), 431 nucleotides long. RefSeq lists it as uncharacterized. The transcript is spliced from 3 exons. The record is from RefSeq and is a predicted model, not a curated record. Lineage: Eukaryota; Metazoa; Chordata; Actinopteri; Perciformes; Cyclopteridae.